This 614-nucleotide ribosomal RNA is filed under the name uncultured Enterobacteriaceae bacterium. RNAcentral's name for it is "bacterial SSU rRNA". It matches the Rfam family "Bacterial small subunit ribosomal RNA", at positions 888 to 1502 of the family's 1533-position model. Lineage: Bacteria; Pseudomonadati; Pseudomonadota; Gammaproteobacteria; Enterobacterales; Enterobacteriaceae. The record is from RNAcentral.
GCAAGGUUAAAACUCAAAUGAAUUGACGGGGGCCCGCACAAGCGGUGGAGCAUGUGGCUUAAUUUGAUGCAACGCGAAGAAACUUACCUGGUCUUGACAUCCAUAAGAAUUCGCAGAGAUGUGGGGAUGCCUUCGGGAACUAUGAGACAGGUGCUGCAUGGCUGUCGUCAGCUCGUGUUGUGAAAUGUUGGGUUAAGUCCCGCAACGAGCGCAACCCUUAUUCUUUGUUGCCAGCGAUUUGGUCGGGAACUCAAAGGAGACUGCCGUUGAUAAAGCGGAGGAAGGUGGGGACGACGUCAAGUCAUCAUGGCCCUUACGACCAGGGCUACACACGUGCUACAAUGGCGUAUACAAAGGGAAGCGAAGGUGCGAGCUGGAGCGGAUCUCAUAAAGUACGUCUAAGUUCGGAUUGGAGUCUGCAACUCGACUCCAUGAAGUCGGAAUCGCUAGUAAUCGUAGAUCAGAAUGCUACGGUGAAUACGUUCCCGGGCCUUGUACACACCGCCCGUCACACCAUGGGAGUGGGUUGCACCAGAAGUAGAUAGCUUAACCGCGAGGGGGGCGUUUACCACGGUGUGAUUCAUGACUGGGGUGAAGUCGUAACAAGGUAACCA